This 373-nucleotide long non-coding RNA is filed under the name Homo sapiens (human). Its description in RNAcentral is "non-protein coding lnc-PAPOLB-2:1". The record is from RNAcentral. Lineage: Eukaryota; Metazoa; Chordata; Mammalia; Primates; Hominidae.
CCAUGGCUCCUGUGAAAAACCUUGUGGUGAAGGGGGGCAAAAAAAAUAAGCAGGUUCUGAAGUUCACUCUUGAUUGCACCCACCCCGUAGAAGAUGGAAUCACAGAUGCUGCCAAUUUGAGCAGUUUUUGCAAGAAAGGAUCAAAGUGAAUGGAAAAGCUGGGAACCUUGGUGGAGGGGUGGUGACCAUCGAAAGGAGCAAGAGCAAGAUCACUGUGACAUCCGAGGUCCCUUUCUCAAAAAGGUAUUUGAAGUAUCUCAACAAAAAAUAUUUGAAGAAUAUUGGCUGCGCAUAGUUGCUAACAGCAAAGAGAGUUACGAAUUACAUUACUUCCAGAUUAACCAGGACAAAGAAGAGGAGGAAGACAAGGAUU